RNAcentral lists this ribosomal RNA (425 nucleotides) under uncultured bacterium. Its description in RNAcentral is "partial 16S ribosomal RNA". It matches the Rfam family "Bacterial small subunit ribosomal RNA", at positions 354 to 796 of the family's 1533-position model. The record is from RNAcentral.
GUGGGGAAUCUUGCGCAAUGGGCGAAAGCCUGACGCAGCCAUGCCGCGUGAAUGAUGAAGGUCUUAGGAUUGUAAAAUUCUUUCACCGGGGACGAUAAUGACGGUACCCGGAGAAGAAGCCCCGGCUAACUUCGUGCCAGCAGCCGCGGUAAUACGAAGGGGGCUAGCGUUGCUCGGAAUUACUGGGCGUAACGGGCGCGUAGGCGGACAGUUUAGUCAGAGGUGAAAGCCCAGGGCUCAACCUUGGAAUUGCCUUUGAUACUGGCUGUCUUGAGUACGGGAGAGGUGAGUGGAACUCCGAGUGUAGAGGUGAAAUUCGUAGAUAUUCGGAAGAACACCAGUGGCGAAGGCGACUCACUGGCCCGUUACUGACGCUGAGGCGCGAAAGCGUGGGGAGCAAACAGGAUUAGAUACCCGAGUAGUCC